GUUUCCUCAUGCUGCCUGUUACAGAGUAAAGAAGAGUAAAAAAUUGUCUCUGCAUAGGCCUUUGGCCACAGCUGAGCAUGACAGUGUCUACACCCUGCAUUUUAGCAUCAUUUCGUGGAUGGAUCCCACCUCCUGUAUCCCUAUAGUGAAAAUGUGAUAAGUUCCAGGCAAAUUUCUCAGGCGACUGCAAAAACUACAGAAUUGCUAUGAUUAGACCUGGGGAUUGCAGACUGGGUGGAUCCAUCCUAGUGGUAGAGCAUUGCUUAGCAUGCCUGAGGCCCUGGGUUGAAUCCCCAGCACCAUCCCACCUUCCCCUCAAAUUGGUAUGAUUGACUAUUCAGAUAGACCAUACACACACACACACACACACCAAAAAAAAAAAAAACAAGAUCAUAUUGAUUAAACCAUCCCCCCCCCAAUUUUUAUAAGGAUCAUAAUUUGGCCUGUUGAUCUCAAAGGAGAAUGAGAACAUGUUUAAGUUGUCAUGAACAGUCGCUUUGUUAGAUUUUUUCCUUGACAGGACAAAAAGUGGAAUUCAGCCCUUUAAAAGAAAAAUUGUGUCUUAGUACGAUGAACCCCAAGUUGGUGAGUUCCUAACUCCUAACCAUGGUCACUUUAUUGCUCAUGAAAACCUGAUUUCCUUGCAAACAAAACAUUGCUGUCUUAGCUUCUUUCAAAAAUAUGUCCCAUGUUUUUCUCUUUGUGCUUCAUAGUAAUUGAUUCCAGAACUGAGUAUUCCCAUACAUCAAAUCUUUGUUGUCUAUUAUUUUGCUUAUAGAACUAAUACUAAUUACUGUCAUCCUGCCUCUGCUUUUCAAGUGCCUUUUUAUAAGGAGAACUUGAUAGCUGUCUUUUGGCUAAUUAUCUUC
Molecule: long non-coding RNA, 869 nt
Filed under: Marmota monax (woodchuck)
Lineage: Eukaryota; Metazoa; Chordata; Mammalia; Rodentia; Sciuridae
Source: RNAcentral